GUUUGGUCUGAGCUAUGAUUGCACUGAAAAUUGAAAAAUAUUCUUUUUUUUUUUAUUUCCUUCAAAAUGUUUUCGAGUCCUUGAAGACAGCUCAAUACUUUGUGAGAGUAAAAUUUGUCUUAAUGGGAACAAAAAAAGAAAACUAAUUUGGUAAACCAGAAUCCUGUCUUUCUAUAGAGUCAAAACUAAACAAAUACUCAAGGUUUUUUCAACUCUCCUGGUACGCGUUGAGAGCCAAUUUUAUAUUUUGUACAAAGAAUUCUUAGAUCUGACAGAGGAAACAAG
This 285-nucleotide unclassified non-coding RNA is filed under the name Hevea brasiliensis (rubber tree). Lineage: Eukaryota; Viridiplantae; Streptophyta; Magnoliopsida; Malpighiales; Euphorbiaceae. The record is from RNAcentral.